Molecule: ribosomal RNA, 1992 nt
Filed under: Shigella sonnei
Lineage: Bacteria; Pseudomonadati; Pseudomonadota; Gammaproteobacteria; Enterobacterales; Enterobacteriaceae
Description: partial 23S ribosomal RNA
Rfam family: Bacterial large subunit ribosomal RNA
Source: RNAcentral
GAUGCAAACUGCGAAUACCGGAGAAUGUUAUCACGGGAGACACACGGCGGGUGCUAACGUCCGUCGUGAAGAGGGAAACAACCCAGACCGCCAGCUAAGGUCCCAAAGUCAUGGUUAAGUGGGAAACGAUGUGGGAAGGCCCAGACAGCCAGGAUGUUGGCUUAGAAGCAGCCAUCAUUUAAAGAAAGCGUAAUAGCUCACUGGUCGAGUCGGCCUGCGCGGAAGAUGUAACGGGGCUAAACCAUGCACCGAAGCUGCGGCAGCGACGCUUAUGCGUUGUUGGGUAGGGGAGCGUUCUGUAAGCCUGCGAAGGUGUGCUGUGAGGCAUGCUGGAGGUAUCAGAAGUGCGAAUGCUGACAUAAGUAACGAUAAAGCGGGUGAAAAGCCCGCUCGCCGGAAGACCAAGGGUUCCUGUCCAACGUUAAUCGGGGCAGGGUGAGUCGACCCCUAAGGCGAGGCCGAAAGGCGUAGUCGAUGGGAAACAGGUUAAUAUUCCUGUACUUGGUGUUACUGCGAAGGGGGGACGGAGAAGGCUAUGUUGGCCGGGCGACGGUUGUCCCGGUUUAAGCGUGUAGGCUGGUUUUCCAGGCAAAUCCGGAAAAUCAAGGCUGAGGCGUGAUGACGAGGCACUACGGUGCUGAAGCAACAAAUGCCCUGCUUCCAGGAAAAGCCUCUAAGCAUCAGGUAACAUCAAAUCGUACCCCAAACCGACACAGGUGGUCAGGUAGAGAAUACCAAGGCGCUUGAGAGAACUCGGGUGAAGGAACUAGGCAAAAUGGUGCCGUAACUUCGGGAGAAGGCACGCUGAUAUGUAGGUGAAGUCCCUUGCGGAUGGAGCUGAAAUCAGUCGAAGAUACCAGCUGGCUGCAACUGUUUAUUAAAAACACAGCACUGUGCAAACACGAAAGUGGACGUAUACGGUGUGACGCCUGCCCGGUGCCGGAAGGUUAAUUGAUGGGGUCAGCGCAAGCGAAGCUCUUGAUCGAAGCCCCGGUAAACGGCGGCCGUAACUAUAACGGUCCUAAGGUAGCGAAAUUCCUUGUCGGGUAAGUUCCGACCUGCACGAAUGGCGUAAUGAUGGCCAGGCUGUCUCCACCCGAGACUCAGUGAAAUUGAACUCGCUGUGAAGAUGCAGUGUACCCGCGGCAAGACGGAAAGACCCCGUGAACCUUUACUAUAGCUUGACACUGAACAUUGAGCCUUGAUGUGUAGGAUAGGUGGGAGGCUUUGAAGUGUGGACGCCAGUCUGCAUGGAGCCGGCCUUGAAAUACCACCCUUUAAUGUUUGAUGUUCUAACGUGGACCCGUGAUCCGGGUUGCGGACAGUGUCUGGUGGGUAGUUUGACUGGGGCGGUCUCCUCCUAAAGAGUAACGGAGGAGCACGAAGGUUGGCUAAUCCUGGUCGGACAUCAGGAGGUUAGUGCAAUGGCAUAAGCCAGCUUGACUGCGAGCGUGACGGCGCGAGCAGGUGCGAAAGCAGGUCAUAGUGAUCCGGUGGUUCUGAAUGGAAGGGCCAUCGCUCAACGGAUAAAAGGUACUCCGGGGAUAACAGGCUGAUACCGCCCAAGAGUUCAUAUCGACGGCGGUGUUUGGCACCUCGAUGUCGGCUCAUCACAUCCUGGGGCUGAAGUAGGUCCCAAGGGUAUGGCUGUUCGCCAUUUAAAGUGGUACGCGAGCUGGGUUUAGAACGUCGUGAGACAGUUCGGUCCCUAUCUGCCGUGGGCGCUGGAGAACUGAGGGGGGCUGCUCCUAGUACGAGAGGACCGGAGUGGACGCAUCACUGGUGUUCGGGUUGUCAUGCCAAUGGCACUGCCCGGUAGCUAAAUGCGGAAGAGAUAAGUGCUGAAAGCAUCUAAGCACGAAACUUGCCCCGAGAUGAGUUCUCCCUGACCCUUUAAGGGUCCUGAAGGAACGUUGAAGACGACGACGUUGAUAGGCCGGGUGUGUAAGCGCAGCGAUGCGUUGAGCUAACCGGUACUAAUGAACCGUGAGG